Molecule: ribosomal RNA, 450 nt
Filed under: uncultured bacterium
Lineage: Bacteria
Description: bacterial SSU rRNA
Rfam family: Bacterial small subunit ribosomal RNA
Source: RNAcentral
GGGCCCGCACAAGCAGCGGAGCAUGUGGUUUAAUUCGACGCAACGCGAAGAACCUUACCAGGGCUUGACAUCUGCGGAAGACCUAAGAGAUUAGGUUGUGCCCUUCGGGGAACCGCAAGACAGGUGGUGCAUGGUUGUCGUCAGCUCGUGUCGUGAGAUGUUGGGUUAAGUCCCGCAACGAGCGCAACCCUUGUAUAUAGUUAAAGAUCUAUAUAGACUGCCGUGGAGAACACGGAGGAAGGUGGGGAUGACGUCAAAUCAUCAUGCCCUUUAUGACCUGGGCUACACACGUGCUACAAUGGGGAGGACAAAGAGAAGCGAGAGAGGGAUCUUAAGCGAAUCUAAAAAACUCACCACAGUUCAGAUUGCAGGCUGCAACCCGCCUGCAUGAAGCCGGAGUUGCUAGUAAUCGCGGAUCAGCAUGCCGCGGUGAAUGCGUUCCCGGGCCUU